RNAcentral lists this transfer RNA (62 nucleotides) under Caerostris darwini. Its description in RNAcentral is "tRNA-Ser". It matches the Rfam family "tRNA". Rfam says of the family: Transfer RNA (tRNA) molecules are approximately 80 nucleotides in length. Their secondary structure includes four short double-helical elements and three loops (D, anti-codon, and T loops). Lineage: Eukaryota; Metazoa; Arthropoda; Arachnida; Araneae; Araneidae. The record is from RNAcentral.
GCAUUGGUGGUUCAGUGGUAGAGUGCACUCGGGCCGCCCGGGUUCGAUUCCCGACCGAUGCA